RNAcentral lists this transfer RNA (72 nucleotides) under Heterocephalus glaber (naked mole-rat). It matches the Rfam family "tRNA". Rfam says of the family: Transfer RNA (tRNA) molecules are approximately 80 nucleotides in length. Their secondary structure includes four short double-helical elements and three loops (D, anti-codon, and T loops). Further hydrogen bonds mediate the characteristic L-shaped molecular structure. tRNAs have two regions of fundamental functional importance: the anti-codon, which is responsible for specific mRNA codon recognition, and the 3' end, to which the tRNAs corresponding amino acid is attached (by aminoacyl-tRNA synthetases). tRNAs cope with the degeneracy of the genetic code in two manners: having more than one tRNA (with a specific anti-codon) for a particular amino acid; and 'wobble' base-pairing, i.e. permitting non-standard base-pairing at the 3rd anti-codon position. The record is from Rfam by way of RNAcentral. Lineage: Eukaryota; Metazoa; Chordata; Mammalia; Rodentia; Bathyergidae.
GGGGAUGUAGCCCAGAGGUAGGGUAUUUGCCUAGCAUGCAUGAGGCCCUGGGUUCAAUCCCUGGUAACACAA